Molecule: long non-coding RNA, 703 nt
Organism: Drosophila ficusphila
Lineage: Eukaryota; Metazoa; Arthropoda; Insecta; Diptera; Drosophilidae
Exons: 2
Source: RefSeq, a predicted model, not a curated record
UGAUAUAAAUAAGUGGUGAAAACAACUCGGCACAAUUUAACGCUUUGUUGCGGUCAAGUAACUUUAGAAUUCCAUCGAGUGAACACAGUCGGCUAGCAGAAAUACACAAAAAACAAAUAAAACCAAAAAAAGCAAAUGAAAACAAGUGCAGAGUAAUGAAAGAAAAAGCAUGAAGACGCGUCGACAUGAAAGGGAAUUCUUCAGCGUGUUUUUAAGCCGAUUUGAUUCUGCGUCAAACAAGAGGAUAAUGACCUUGGAUACCAUCCGUUUUCCUUGUGGGCAGUUUCCACAUCCCAAUUCCAAUCCUCACUCCCCAUUCCCAUCCCAAUCCUCGUCCCCGGUGUCAUUUCCGAUCUCCUGACUGCGGUUAGAUGGCCAACUUAAUAAGCAAGAUAUCCCCAAACUGAGGCCCCGGACUCCCGUUCAAGUUUUCGACUCACUGCGCUUUUGGCCGGACUCCAAGCCAAGUUAAUGCCAAUAUUUUACUCAACUUGUCCGGCCUUCAAGCCGCCACUCAGCUGGCCAAGACCACCGAGCCACUUAGGAUUAGAGCUACAUUUUUCAGCUGAUUACUAUGACGAGUGACUUAAUAUUCGGAAAGGAAAGUGGAAGCACUCGAAAAGGCCUUGCUAAUGGAUCAGUUGAAAAUCAGUUCUUAGCCAUUGUAAUUGAAAAGUUAAUAAAACAGGCUUAAAAGGUGAAA